AGCGCAGGCGGGAUAGCAAGUCAGCUGUGAAAACUAUGGGCUCAACCCAUAAACUGCAGUUGAAACUGUUAUUCUUGAGUGGAGUAGAGGCAAGCGGAAUUCCGAGUGUAGCGGUGAAAUGCGUAGAUAUGGGGAGGAACACCAGUGGCGAAGGCGGCUUUCUGGACUGUGUCUGACACUGAGGCGCGAAAGCCAGGGGAGCGAACG
Molecule: ribosomal RNA, 207 nt
Filed under: uncultured bacterium
Lineage: Bacteria
Description: partial 16S ribosomal RNA
Rfam family: Bacterial small subunit ribosomal RNA
Source: RNAcentral